RNAcentral lists this long non-coding RNA (1452 nucleotides) under Oryctolagus cuniculus (rabbit). RNAcentral's name for it is "lncRNA (ENSOCUG00000030876.1)". The record is from RNAcentral. Lineage: Eukaryota; Metazoa; Chordata; Mammalia; Lagomorpha; Leporidae.
GGGAGGUCUGAGUGGAAGGAACCUCAGUGGCUGUCCUCAAACUGCAUUACUCGUGUGUUCCUCUCGGAUGCGUGGCACCUGCUCUGGGGAAGGCCCUGCGCGGGGAGAGACACAGAAAUGCUACGGAGCCCAGCAGCCGAGAUCCGAGCACGGGCAGCCAGGGCGCAGCGGCCGCUCGGGGCUCACGGGACUGCCCACGCUGCCAGGGCCCGCAGGGUGCUUGUGUUUUUGUGACAUCUCCAUGUUUAUGGAAAAAGUGUUUUCCAAACUCAACUUGGUGCGUGCGACCUGUCCGCUGAGGAGUUGGGGAAACCGUCCUGUUCCGCUUCCUAGUGGUUGCACAAGUUGGAUGUUGCUGCUGUUUGACCUUGCGAGAGCCGAGGCUUGGCAAAGCGGGAAACCUGCUCUGAAUCCCGCAGUGAGUGACUUGUGGAGGCAGGACUUGAACCCAGCACUGACUCACAGCAGCUAUGAAACACCCACGCGUCUGCCUGCCCCUUAGAGAAAUCAUCGUGACACACAGUCGACUUUGACCCAGAACCACAGGCAGGCAGAAUUCACAAGGCAGUGAGAGGAUGCAAAACCCAAGUUCCCAGUGAACUUGAACUUGACUGGUGACAGCUCUUGUUUUUGGGCAAAUUAGUUGCUCCCACUAAGCAGCAAUGGCCUCUGCUGUGGGAAAGCAAGGCCGCUGACCUGUGUGCUGAUGCACAUCUGGUUGGAAACCUGCAUAAAGAGCCGUCCCCGCCCCUGGGCUCCAGAGCCUCCAGGCAUGCGUUCAGGCCAGGUCCCCGUCUGGGCGCACUCAGCCCGAGCUCGGCUGACCCGGUCUGUGUCGGGGUGCACACUCAGCCCGAGCUCGGCUGACCCGGUCUGUGUCGGGGUGCACACUCAGCCCGAGCUCGGCUGACCCGGUCUGUGUCGGGGCACACACAGCCCGAGCUCGGCUGACCCGGUCCCCAUCGGGGCACACACAGCCCAAGCUCGGCUGACCCGGUCUGUGUCAGGGUGCACACAGCCCAAGCUCGGCUGACCGGUCCCCAUUGGGGCACACUCAGCCCGAGCUCGGCUGACCUGGUCCACGUUGGGAUGUGCUCAGCCCGAGCUUGGCCCCUCUGCGCACCACAGAGCCGGCUCCCUGCUGCCUCGGAGGCACUGCGCCACCCGCCUGCCGUGAGCGGUGCCUGCAUGUCUAGUCUCGGAUCCCUCCUGUCAGGGCAGGCACAGCGCAGGACCCCCUUUGCCGCUGCGCACAUCUCUACACUUGGCUUUCCUGACCGGUGACGGACCGGAACAUGGUCUUUGUGCUCCCAGCCCGCCAUCCCCCCACAGCUUACACCAAGGCCCUGUUUGCAACGCCCUCUCUUCUCCUACUUGUUGCUUCUCUUCUGUGAUGGACAUUUUAUUGAUUGCUGUUUAUUAAGAAAUUUCAUAAACCAAGGCUGUUGUAAA